RNAcentral lists this small RNA (94 nucleotides) under Salmonella enterica subsp. enterica serovar Oranienburg. RNAcentral describes it as "partial RtT sRNA". It matches the Rfam family "RtT RNA", at positions 36 to 130 of the family's 130-position model. From Rfam's summary of the family: This family represents a bacterial cis-regulatory element known as RtT RNA. The exact function of RtT is unknown although it is thought that it may be involved in changing the cellular response in relation to amino acid starvation. Lineage: Bacteria; Pseudomonadati; Pseudomonadota; Gammaproteobacteria; Enterobacterales; Enterobacteriaceae. The record is from RNAcentral. RNAcentral also lists the same sequence under 3 other names.
CCGCAGGUUCGGGUCGAACGCAGUGAGACAACGGAGCCGUUUACGGCGACGGCCCGAAGGGCGAGCGAAGCGAGUCAUCCUGCACGACCCACCA